Molecule: ribosomal RNA, 470 nt
Filed under: Alexandrium catenella
Lineage: Eukaryota; Dinophyceae; Gonyaulacales; Pyrocystaceae
Description: partial large subunit ribosomal RNA
Rfam family: Eukaryotic large subunit ribosomal RNA
Source: RNAcentral
GGGGCCCCUAUUGAAUAAACGUCAAUGAGGUGAAAUCCUGUUUGUCUGUGCAGCCCUUUGUGCACGGAUAUUUGCUGAUCACACUCCUUGGCAUUGGAAUGCAAAGUGGGUGGUAAGUUUCAUGUAAAGGUAAACAUGCAAUUGACUGAUAGCACACAAGUACCAUGAGGGAAAUAUGAAAAGGACUUUGAAAAGAGAAUUAAAUGAGUUGUAUUUGCUGAACACAAAGUAAACAGACUUGAUUUGCUUGUGGGAGUGUUGCACUUGCUUGACAAGAGCUUUGGGCUGUGGGUGUAAUGAUUCUUUCUUUGCAUGCCAGUUUCUAUUUGUACAUCUGAUUACCUUUGCACGAAUGAUAAGUCUCCUGUGGGGGGUGGAUUGCAUUGCAUGUAAUGAUUUGUGUUUUGAUAAAUGUGUCUGGGUAGUGUGUGUUCCUGUGGGGAUGCUUCCUUGAAACACCUGACACACAC